CUGGUGUUCGGGUUGUGUCGCCAGACGCAUUGCCCGGUAGCUAAGUUCGGAAUCGAUAACCGCUGAAAGCAUCUAAGCGGGAAGCGAGCCUCAAGAUGAGUCAUCCCUAGACCUUCAAGGUCUCUAAAGGGUUGUUGAAGACUACAACGUUGAUAGGUCGGGUGUGUAAGUGCUGUGAGGCAUUGAGCUAACCGAUACUAAUUGCCCGUGAGGCUUAACCAUACAACACCCAAGGGGUUU
RNAcentral lists this ribosomal RNA (240 nucleotides) under Photobacterium leiognathi subsp. mandapamensis. RNAcentral describes it as "partial 23S ribosomal RNA". It matches the Rfam family "Bacterial large subunit ribosomal RNA", at positions 2709 to 2925 of the family's 2925-position model. The record is from RNAcentral. Lineage: Bacteria; Pseudomonadati; Pseudomonadota; Gammaproteobacteria; Vibrionales; Vibrionaceae.